Small nucleolar RNA from Loxodonta africana (African savanna elephant), 134 nucleotides. Its record names the gene SNORA71. It matches the Rfam family "Small nucleolar RNA SNORA71". From Rfam's summary of the family: The members of this family belong to the H/ACA class of snoRNAs which bind a number of proteins (including dyskerin, Gar1p and Nop10p) to form snoRNP complexes. Lineage: Eukaryota; Metazoa; Chordata; Mammalia; Proboscidea; Elephantidae. The record is from Ensembl.
ACCUGCAUUGAAAAGCGAUCACGGGCUGCCUGUGCCCUGGUCAUCGAUAAUGUAGGGAGAGGAAUUGUGGAAAGCAGUUUCCCGUGUUUGGAGGGUCCAUACCCAUCCCUUUCAAAUGCUGACGCUUUCACACA